RNAcentral lists this ribosomal RNA (461 nucleotides) under Phaeobacter italicus. RNAcentral describes it as "bacterial SSU rRNA". It matches the Rfam family "Bacterial small subunit ribosomal RNA", at positions 112 to 608 of the family's 1533-position model. Lineage: Bacteria; Pseudomonadati; Pseudomonadota; Alphaproteobacteria; Rhodobacterales; Roseobacteraceae. The record is from RNAcentral.
AACGCGUGGGAACGUGCCCAGAUCUAAGGAAUAGCCACUGGAAACGGUGAGUAAUACCUUAUACGCCCUUCGGGGGAAAGAUUUAUCGGAUUUGGAUCGGCCCGCGUUAGAUUAGGUAGUUGGUGGGGUAAUGGCCUACCAAGCCUACGAUCUAUAGCUGGUUUUAGAGGAUGAUCAGCAACACUGGGACUGAGACACGGCCCAGACUCCUACGGGAGGCAGCAGUGGGGAAUCUUGGACAAUGGGGGCAACCCUGAUCCAGCCAUGCCGCGUGAGUGAUGAAGGCCUUAGGGUCGUAAAGCUCUUUCGCCUGUGAUGAUAAUGACAGUAGCAGGUAAAGAAACCCCGGCUAACUCCGUGCCAGCAGCCGCGGUAAUACGGAGGGGGUUAGCGUUGUUCGGAAUUACUGGGCGUAAAGCGCGCGUAGGCGGAUUAGUCAGUUAGAGGUGAAAUCCCAGGGC